RNAcentral lists this ribosomal RNA (253 nucleotides) under uncultured bacterium. RNAcentral's name for it is "partial 16S ribosomal RNA". It matches the Rfam family "Bacterial small subunit ribosomal RNA", at positions 524 to 776 of the family's 1533-position model. The record is from RNAcentral.
UACGUAGGGUGCAAGCGUUAAUCGGAAUUACUGGGCGUAAAGCGUGCGCAGGCGGUUUGUUAAGACGGAUGUGAAAGCCCCGGGCUCAACCUGGGAAUUGCAUUCGAGACUGCUCUGCUAGGGUGCGGAAGAGGGAAGCGGAAUUUCCGGUGUAGCGGUGAAAUGCGUAGAUAUCGGAAGGAACACCAGUGGCGAAAGCGGCUUCCUGGUCCAGCACCGACGUUCAGGCACGAAAGCGUGGGGAGCAAACAGG